This is a non-coding RNA of Pelobates cultripes (western spadefoot toad), 273 nucleotides long. The record is from the annotation of a GenBank genome assembly. NCBI's taxonomy places the organism in Eukaryota, Metazoa, Chordata, Amphibia, Anura, Pelobatidae.
AAUUAUUCUAUACUCUGUACUUGGAUUUGUAUGCCCAACAUGCAUUAUCUUGCAAUUAUCCACUUUAAAUGUGCCACAGCUCUGACCUUUUUUCUAGUUUACCUAAAUCAUUUGCCAUUUGGCUUGUGCCUCCCGGAACAUCAACCCUGUUGUAUCAUCAGCAAAAAUACAUAUUUUACCAUCAAGACCUUCUGCAGUAUCAGUAAUAAAGGUAUUAAAGAGAAUGGGUCCAAGAACAGAUCCCUGAGGUACCCCACUGGUGACAAGUCCAAG